AUGAACAGUGAUAAUUAUUAUUAUUUAGAAGUAUGAGGAACAAUACAUAUAUAUUAUUUUAAUUAUCGAAUUUAUAAAUAUGCCCUUAAGUGUGAAAUUUGGGACGAACUAAUUUACGAUUUAGUCCCGUUUUAAAAUUACGAUUUUGCUAUCGGUUUAAAAUUACGCUUUUACCUCUAGUUCAAAAUAAAAUUAUGCUUUUGCCCUCAGUGAGAAAUUACACUUUUGCCCUCGGUUCAAAUAUACGAUUUUGCCCCCUUUAAAUUUACAGUUUUGUCAUUAGUUUUGUUUUCUUCCUCUCAGGUAAGUUACGAUUUUGCCGUCAAUUUAAAUUUAUAUUUUUGUCAUCGGUUUUGUUUGCUUUCCCAGUCAAAUUACGAUUUUGCCCCGCUUUAAAAUUAUGAUUUUGCCAUCAGUUUAAAAUUUCGUUUU
RNAcentral lists this long non-coding RNA (432 nucleotides) under Helianthus annuus (common sunflower). Its description in RNAcentral is "sRNA HanXRQr2_Chr05g0222491". The record is from RNAcentral. Lineage: Eukaryota; Viridiplantae; Streptophyta; Magnoliopsida; Asterales; Asteraceae.